RNA transcript from Nycticebus coucang (slow loris), 689 nucleotides. It is a transcript of the gene named 60S ribosomal protein L21-like, with no coding region annotated. NCBI's taxonomy places the organism in Eukaryota, Metazoa, Chordata, Mammalia, Primates, Lorisidae. The transcript has a single exon. The record is from RefSeq and is a predicted model, not a curated record.
UAAAAAUUCUUCCUUGAGGAAAUGUUUUUUAAGUCAUUUAAGUAUUUAUAAAGGCGCUAAGGAAACUAGGCAGACAAUCGCCCUCUCGCAUGGAGCUCACCUUGCAAAGAAGUCCUUAAGUGCUUCCAAAGGUUAAGAUUAAUCCUUACCACCUUGAGAAAUUAAGGAUUAAAUAAAAGCACAGUGAACCUUUUGGUUCAACAAAAUGACAAAUACAAAGGGAAAGAGGAGAGACACUUGAUAAGCGCUCUCUGGGCCUUUAAGAAAACACGGAGUUGUCCCUUUGGCCACAUAGAUGCGAAUCUACAAGAAAGGUGAUAUUGUAGACAUCAAGGAAACGGGUACUGUUCAAAAACGCAUGCCACACAGAUGUCACCAUGGCAAAACUGGAAGAGUCUACAGUGUCACCCCAGCAUGCUGUUGGCAUUGUUGUAAACAAACAAGUGAAGGGCAAGAUUCUCGCCAAGACGAUUAAUGUUUGUAUUGAGCACAUUAAGCACUCUAAGAGCCGAGACAGCUUCCUGAAAUGUGUGAAGGAAAAUGAUCAGGAAAAGAAGGACGCCAAAGAGAAAGGGACCUGGGUUCAAUGGAAGCGCCAGCCUGUGCCGCUCAGAGAAGCCCACUUUGUGAGAACCAAAAGAAAGGAGCCUGAGCUCCUGGAACCCAUUCCCUAUGAAUUCAUGGCAUAA